AGUAGCUCAAUUGGCAGAGUGGCGGUCUCCAAAACCGCAGGUUGGGGGUUCGAUUCCCUCCUGG
This 64-nucleotide transfer RNA is filed under the name uncultured Legionella sp. It matches the Rfam family "tRNA", at positions 6 to 65 of the family's 71-position model. From Rfam's summary of the family: Transfer RNA (tRNA) molecules are approximately 80 nucleotides in length. Their secondary structure includes four short double-helical elements and three loops (D, anti-codon, and T loops). Lineage: Bacteria; Pseudomonadati; Pseudomonadota; Gammaproteobacteria; Legionellales; Legionellaceae. The record is from RNAcentral.